This 253-nucleotide ribosomal RNA is filed under the name uncultured bacterium. RNAcentral's name for it is "partial 16S ribosomal RNA". It matches the Rfam family "Bacterial small subunit ribosomal RNA", at positions 524 to 776 of the family's 1533-position model. The record is from RNAcentral.
UACAUGGGGUGCAAACGUUGCUCGGAAUUACUGGGCGUAAAGGGCUCGUAGGCGGCCAACUAAGUCGGAUGUGAAAUCCCCAGGCUUAACCUGGGAACUGCAUCCGAUACUGGAUGGCUUGAAUCCGGGAGAGGGAUGCAGAAUUCCAGGUGUAGCGGUGAAAUGCGUAGAUAUCUGGAGGAAUACCGGUGGCGAAGGCGGCAUCCUGGACCGGCAUUGACGCUGAUGAGCGAAAGCUAGGAGAGCAAACGGG